Molecule: ribosomal RNA, 254 nt
Filed under: uncultured bacterium
Lineage: Bacteria
Description: partial 16S ribosomal RNA
Rfam family: Bacterial small subunit ribosomal RNA
Source: RNAcentral
UACGGGGGGAGCAAGCGUUGUUCGGAUUUACUGGGCGUAAAGGGCGCGUAGGCGGCCAGCACAAGUCAGUUGUGAAAUCUCCGAGCUUAACUCGGAACGGUCAACUGAUACUGUGCGGCUAGAGUGCAGAAGGGGCAACUGGAAUUCUCGGUGUAGCGGUGAAAUUCGUAGAUAUCGGGAGGAACACCAGUGGCGAAGGCGGCGACCUGGGCCAAUAUUGACGCUGAGGUGCGAAAGCGUGGGGAGCAAACAGG